Peromyscus leucopus (white-footed mouse) is the source of this 463-nucleotide long non-coding RNA. RefSeq lists it as uncharacterized. The transcript has 5 exons. Lineage: Eukaryota; Metazoa; Chordata; Mammalia; Rodentia; Cricetidae. The record is from RefSeq and is a predicted model, not a curated record.
AGCUCUCCUAACAGCAGUUCUACAGUCUGCCAGACACAGCUGUUCCCAUAGAAUUGUUCUCCAAUUUACAACAAUGACCUCUGCUCUCUUCUCCCUGAUGGUUGUAUACAGCCUCAUCAUUUCUUGUCAGGGUCGUCCUUUCAUCAUUUCCAGAAAUAAAGUUGAUUUGACUAAGCCACCUGAUGAGAUUGUUAUUGAGCCACCACCAAUAAAUAUAAUUGUGCUCUCAAUUCACUCUGUCUACAAUUUCAAUGGUGAUCAAAGGAGAUGAGAUGAAAGAAGACCAUGAUGGAGUCUCUAUUGCACUAUUGUAUACAUUUUAAGACAUCGAGAGCUAAGUGAUCAAGAUAAUGUCACACUCCUGAGAAUUACCUAUGUUCUACAAUAAAUGAUUUCUGCUACUUCCCACAACUAGUAUUUCUACUUAUCCUUAAAUGAAAAUACAGAAUGAUUAUUAAGGGUC